AUGGAUAUUGAUCACGGCAGAGAGAGCGACGGCGAGAUGGUGGGCACCAUCGCCAGCUGCGGGCUGCUGCUCCACUCGCUUCUCGCCGGGCUCGGGCGUCGCGCCGCCGGGUUCGCCCGGAAGGUGGGCGGCGCCGCGCGGGAGGACCCGAGGCGGGUGGCGCACUCGCUCAAAGUCGGCCUGGCGCUCGCGCUGGUGUCCGUCGUCUACUUCGUCACGCCGCUCUUCAACGGCCUCGGGGUGUCCGCGAUAUGGGCCGUGCUCACCGUCGUCGUCGUCAUGGAGUACACCGUCGGUGCCACGCUGAGUAAAGGCUUGAACAGAGCCUUGGCGACGUUGGUGGCUGGCUGCAUCGCCGUCGGAGCUCAUCAGUUAGCUGAAUUAGCUGAACGCUGUGGUGAUCAGGGAGAGCCCAUAGUGCUCACCGUGCUCGUCUUCUUCGUAGCGUCAGCGGCGACGUUCUUGCGCUUCAUCCCGGAGAUCAAGGCCAAGUACGACUACGGCGUGACCAUCUUCAUACUGACCUUCGGUCUGGUGGCCGUGUCGAGCUACAGAGUGGAGGAGCUCAUCCAGCUCGCGCACCAGCGGUUCUACACCAUAGCCGUCGGCGUCUUCAUCUGCCUCUGCACCACCGUCUUCCUCUUCCCCGUCUGGGCCGGAGAGGACGUCCACAAGCUCGCCUCCGGCAACCUCGACAAACUCGCUCAGUUCAUUGAAGGUAACGCAUCACGUACGCCAGGAAUGGAAUUCAACUGCUUUGGCGAAAACAGUGUUGCAAAUAAUUUUGGGGGAAAGGAUUCCCCCCAAAUGCACAAGAGCGUCCUUAAUUCGAAGGCCACUGAGGACUCUUUGUGCACCUUUGCCAAAUGGGAGCCUCGUCAUGGCCAGUUCAGAUUUCGACACCCAUGGAGCCAAUACCAGAAGCUGGGAACUCUUUGUCGCCAAUGUGCGUCUUCUAUGGAGGCUCUUGCUUCAUAUGUCAUCACAACCUCAAAAACCCAGUGCCCUGCUGCAGCCAACCCUGAGCUAUCAUGUAAGGUUCGAAAAACAUGUGGCGAAAUGAGCUUGCAUUCCUCCAAGGUGCUUAGGGAUCUCGCAAUGGCAACUCGAACAAUGACUGUGCCGUCUCCAGUGAAUAUCACCAUGGCUACAGCCGUGAAAGCAGCGGAAAGCCUCAGAAGCGAGCUUGCAGAGAACACGGCUCUGUUGCAAGUGAUGCAUGUGGCCGUCACCGCAACACUUCUUGCGGACUUGGUUGAUAGGGUGAAGGAAAUCGCGGAAUGUGUUGAUGUCCUAGCAAGACUGGCGCACUUUAAGAACCCCGAGGACACAAAAAAUGUCGUUGUCAGUACCGUGAGUCGAGGGAUAGACGAACCUUUGCCUGACGUGGUUAUUUUGUAA
RNAcentral lists this ribosomal RNA (1401 nucleotides) under Triticum aestivum (bread wheat). RNAcentral's name for it is "partial small subunit ribosomal RNA". Lineage: Eukaryota; Viridiplantae; Streptophyta; Magnoliopsida; Poales; Poaceae. The record is from RNAcentral.